ACUCAAAUGAAUUGACGGGGACCCGCACAAGUAGGGGAACGUGUGGUUUAAUUCGAGACAAAACGAAAAACCUCACCAGGGUUUGAAAUGUAUGUUUUAGGAUCCUGAAAGGGAAACAAACCGCAAGGUAGCAUACACAGGUGCUGCAUGGCUGUCGUCAGCUCGUGUCGUGAGAUGUCGUCUUAAGUGACUCAACGAGCGCAACCCUCAUCACUAGUUGUAUCACUCUAGUGAAACCGCCCCGCCUUUUGUUCGCAAGCAAACAAAAUUCGAAGUGAAUUUCGAAUCUGCUUGUUGAUAGAAGGCGGGGAGGAAGGCGAGGAUGAUGUCAAGUCAUCAUAGCCCUUAUGUCCUGGGCUACACACACGUUACAAUGCAUAGGAACAACGGGCUGCUAGCUCGCGAGAGUACGCUAAUCCCUAAAAACUAUGCUCAGUUCAGAUUGUAGUCUGAAAUUCGACUGCAUGAAGAUGGACUUACUAGUAAUCGCAAAUCAGCAUGUUGCGGUGAAUACGUUCUCGGGUCUUGUACACACCGCCCGU
RNAcentral lists this ribosomal RNA (542 nucleotides) under uncultured bacterium. RNAcentral describes it as "partial 16S ribosomal RNA". It matches the Rfam family "Bacterial small subunit ribosomal RNA", at positions 899 to 1397 of the family's 1533-position model. The record is from RNAcentral.